CACGUAGGGUGCGAGCGUUGUCCGGAAUUAUUGGGCGUAAAGGGCUCGUAGGCGGUUUGUCACGUCGGGAGUGAAAACUCGGGGCUCAACCCCGAGCCUGCUUCCGAUACGGGCAGACUAGAGGUAUGCAGGGGAGAAUGGAAUUCCUGGUGUAGCGGUGAAAUGCGCAGAUAUCAGGAGGAACACCGGUGGCGAAGGCGGUUCUCUGGGCAUUACCUGACGCUGAGGAGCGAAAGUGUGGGGAGCGAACAGG
Molecule: ribosomal RNA, 253 nt
Filed under: uncultured bacterium
Lineage: Bacteria
Description: partial 16S ribosomal RNA
Rfam family: Bacterial small subunit ribosomal RNA
Source: RNAcentral